UGCCCGGGCAUUAAUUAGACACCUGUCCGCCAGAAGAUUACGGGCGAAAGCCUAAAACUCAAAAGACUUGACGGUGUCCUAAUCUACCUAGAGGAGCCUGUUCCAUAAUCGAUAACCCCCGAUAAACCCGACCACCCUUUGAAACAUUCAGCCUAUAUACCGCCGUCUACAGCCCACCUUUUUAAAGAACAAAAGUAGGCUAAACAGACUUUCUCUAAAAAGUCAGGUCAAGGUGUAGCUAAUAGGGUGGAGACAAUGGGCUACAUUUUUUAAAAUAAAACACCACGGACCAGUUUUUUGAAACAAAACUACAAAGGUGGAUUUAGCAGUAAGCUAAAAAAGAAUACUUAGCUUAACCCAGCCCUAGGACACGUACAC
RNAcentral lists this ribosomal RNA (378 nucleotides) under Gymnophthalmus speciosus. RNAcentral's name for it is "partial 12S ribosomal RNA". It matches the Rfam family "Bacterial small subunit ribosomal RNA", at positions 842 to 1388 of the family's 1533-position model. The record is from RNAcentral. Lineage: Eukaryota; Metazoa; Chordata; Lepidosauria; Squamata; Gymnophthalmidae.